UACGUAGGGAGCGAGCGUUGUCCGGAAUUACUGGGUGUAAAGGGAGCGUAGGCGGGACUGCAAGUCAGAUGUGAAAUGCCGGGGCUUAACCCCGGAGCUGCAUUUGAAACUGUGGUUCUUGAGUGAAGUAGAGGCAAGCGGAAUUCCUGGUGUAGCGGUGAAAUGCGUAGAUAUCAGGAGGAACACCGGUGGCGAAGGCGGCUUGCUGGGCUUUUACUGACGCUGAGGCUCGAAAGCGUGGGUAG
Molecule: ribosomal RNA, 245 nt
Filed under: uncultured Ruminococcus sp.
Lineage: Bacteria; Bacillati; Bacillota; Clostridia; Eubacteriales; Oscillospiraceae
Description: partial 16S ribosomal RNA
Rfam family: Bacterial small subunit ribosomal RNA
Source: RNAcentral